RNAcentral lists this ribosomal RNA (254 nucleotides) under uncultured bacterium. RNAcentral's name for it is "partial 16S ribosomal RNA". It matches the Rfam family "Bacterial small subunit ribosomal RNA", at positions 524 to 776 of the family's 1533-position model. The record is from RNAcentral.
UACGUAGGGUGCAAGCGUUAAUCGGAAUUACUGGGCGUAAAGCGUGCGCAGGCGGUUAUGUAAGACAGAUGUGAAAUGCCCGGGCUUAACCUGGGAACUGCAUUUGUGACUGCAUGGCUAGAGUUUGGCAGAGGGGGGUAGAAUUCCACGUGUAGCAGUGAAAUGCGUAGAUAUGUGGAGGAACACCGAUGGCGAAGGCAGCCCCCUGGGUCAAGACUGACGCUCAUGCACGAAAGGCGUGGGGAGCAAACAGG